CCGUGCUAGGUGGGGUGCUAGGGGUGCCCUACAUCCGAAAUCCUCUUCAUGCGGAGCUGAACUCCCUGCCUGAGGAUGCGAUGACAUCGGGUCAGCGCUGGCUCGGUCGAUGGUGAUAACAAGGUCCCGUUUCGGCGGAGCGUCGUGAACCGGGUCAGGUCCGGAAGGAAGCAGCCCUAAGCGGUUUGCUCCGGGUGCGGCGGGGUUGCCUUGGAGGAGUCGAUCGUCCAGAACGCGCCGUUGCUGGACCAUCCAACGGCGGGGUGCACGG
Molecule: signal recognition particle RNA, 271 nt
Filed under: Acidobacteriota bacterium
Lineage: Bacteria; Pseudomonadati; Acidobacteriota
Description: Acidobacteria bacterium signal recognition particle sRNA large type
Rfam family: Bacterial large signal recognition particle RNA
About the family: The signal recognition particle (SRP) is a universally conserved ribonucleoprotein involved in the co-translational targeting of proteins to membranes. Archaeal SRP consists of a 7S RNA and homologues of the eukaryotic SRP19 and SRP54 proteins. In most bacteria, the SRP consists of a 4.5S RNA and the Ffh protein (a homologue of the eukaryotic SRP54 protein).
Source: RNAcentral